AUUGAACGCUGGCGGCAGGCCUAACACAUGCAAGUCGAGCGGAUGAAGGGAGCUUGCUCCUGGAUUCAGCGGCGGACGGGUGAGUAAUGCCUAGGAAUCUGCCUGGUAGUGGGGGAUAACGUCCGGAAACGGGCGCUAAUACCGCAUACGUCCUGAUGGAGAAAGUGGGGGUUCUUCGGACCUCACGCUAUCAGAUGAGCCUAGGUCGGAUUACCUAGUUGGUGGGGUAAAGGCCUACCAAGGCGACGAUCCGUAACUGGUCUGCGAGGGUGAACAGGCACACGGGAACUGGGAAACGGGCCAGACCCCUAAGGGAGGGAACAGGGGGGAAAAUUGGGACAAGGGGGAAAACCCGACUCCACCCAGGCCGGGGGGGGAAAAAAGGCUUUGGGUUUUAAAACCCUUUUAGGGGGGGAGAAAAGAGGGUAAAUUAAACCUUUGCUUUUUGACGGUACCCAACAAAAAAGCCACGGCUAACUUCGUG
RNAcentral lists this ribosomal RNA (484 nucleotides) under uncultured bacterium. RNAcentral describes it as "partial 16S ribosomal RNA". It matches the Rfam family "Bacterial small subunit ribosomal RNA", at positions 29 to 507 of the family's 1533-position model. The record is from RNAcentral.